UAGGGAAUAUUGGGCAAUGGACGAGAGUCUGACCCAGCCAUGCCGCGUGCAGGAAGAAGGCCUUCUGGGUUGUAAACUGCUUUUGAUCGGGAACAAAACACCUAUGCGUAGGGAUUUGAGUGUACCGAUAGAAUAAGCACCGGCUAACUCCGUGCCAGCAGCCGCGGUAAUACGGAGGGUGCAAGCGUUGUCCGGAUUUAUUGGGUUUAAAGGGUGCGUAGGCGGCUAUUUAAGUCAGUGGUGAAAUCCUGCAGCUCAACUGUAGAAUUGCCAUUGAUACUGGAUAGCUUGAGUACAGACGAGGUAGGCGGAAUUUAUGGUGUAGCGGUGAAAUGCAUAGAUACCAUAAAGAACCCCUAUUGCGAAGGCAGCUUACUAGGCUGUAACUGACGCUGAGGCACGAAAGCGUGGGGAUCAAACAGG
RNAcentral lists this ribosomal RNA (423 nucleotides) under uncultured bacterium. RNAcentral's name for it is "bacterial SSU rRNA". It matches the Rfam family "Bacterial small subunit ribosomal RNA", at positions 355 to 776 of the family's 1533-position model. The record is from RNAcentral.